CCUUCGACGUUGUUUAUGGCGUUUCUGAUUUCACUAACUGUCACUAGCAGCAUUUAUUUCACAACAAAUCGACAUUUAUGUGUUUAGAAACCUGUAUUUGCUAAAUUAUCACCAUAUGGAUGGAACAAAAGUCUAAAACAACGUAGAGACGACAGCUUUAAGACAGCUGUCUUAAGUAACAACGGCGUGAAUAAUGGCUAUGAGAUUGAUGCGUCUAUUUUUAUUAAGCUAGUAGCAUAAAAUAAAAACAUCGCUGCAGAGGUGCCUCUAUAUUUACAUUUCAUUAGUUGCCAAACAUAUGCUUUGUGCGUUACUACAUUGAUAACAUUAGCUUGCGUGCAAGCAACGUAGACACUACUGUCACCAAGUUUAGUGCUGCAAAAGCAUUUAUACAGUAUUUCAUGUCAUUUCCUAGUAUUGUGGUCGUGCAAAAGACAUAAAUCGCCCAAACUGUUAUUUCUUGGCUCAUUUAGUCGCAGGAGGCGCUGGCAUAAGUGCCUGCAGGCCUCUUUGAUACACUGUGCUGGUUUGAGGUUUCCUGACAUGACUCUGACAGGGCUCUGCUUGCCUUGGAUGGCAGAAAGGACAUAAGUUGUUAAGGAUCUUGAGGUUUCAGAGGGUUUGCCAAAGUCAAUUCUGGCCUGAGCAGCAGCUGUAUGUAGUUUUUUUUUAACUGGCACGUUAUACCAGUCCAGCUUAGCAUGGCAGUCAGCAUCACACAGUGCCUUCAAGUUUAUGUAUAGCACCCUAAAAUACCCCUGGACCCCUUUCUUCUGUAACAGUGCCCAGAUGAAUACUGGAACCAUAUGCAUGUUAUGGAGCCAAAUGCACCAUCGUAAGUGCUGCUGUAGACGUCCUGUGACAUCGGUACUAAAGAGCGUGAGGCUGUCUGUCAUCACCAGGCGUCGCUUGGCUCUGUCUGGCUCUUUCAGACCUGCCACGUCUCUCAGCAUGCUUUUUGUCUUCCCUCUAAUAACCCGUCGCACAUGUUGGGAACUCCAAAUGAGGCCACAGCAACAUCUCUAAUUUACGUCAUCUGUGAAUUCUGUGGCUGGUGAAAGAAGGUCUGGAAGAGAGUCUGUCAAGAUGUAUCACACAAGUGUAAUGGCUGACAUCUCAAAUGCAAAUGAGGUAAGGAAAAAAUCCCUUUUUCUUCCACAUACAAGACAUGUAAUAG
This is a long non-coding RNA of Megalobrama amblycephala (Wuchang bream), 1177 nucleotides long. RefSeq lists it as uncharacterized. The transcript has 5 exons. The record is from RefSeq and is a predicted model, not a curated record. NCBI's taxonomy places the organism in Eukaryota, Metazoa, Chordata, Actinopteri, Cypriniformes, Xenocyprididae.